RNAcentral lists this long non-coding RNA (339 nucleotides) under Hordeum vulgare. Its description in RNAcentral is "long non-coding RNA (HVUL_LNC016832)". Lineage: Eukaryota; Viridiplantae; Streptophyta; Magnoliopsida; Poales; Poaceae. The record is from RNAcentral.
AGGGAAGGGCACCAUAACCAUCAUCAGGACUAGAGGCUAGGCUUAGGCUCACUGACUCUAGUUUUUCAACAAGAAGAAGGAGAUGAUGCUGGAGCGAAUGGGUUUUAGAGGAAGUGGACAAAUCUUCUCAUGAUCACCUAGUACUACAGUAGUUCUUGUAAAUACAUAGUAGGUCUUCUUCUAACCUCUCUGAAGAAAAUAAGAAGCAGCCUAGCAUUGCAGUGCGUUUUGUUCGUGGGAAUUAGUGAGGGGAAACGGGGGUUUUGAUCUCAAACCAGACACUGGGUAUCGGUCUAGGAGCCGGCCAUGCAUCCAAAGUUGUCCCCUAAAUAUCCGUAC